GUUGACCUCGAAUCAGGUAGGACUACCCGCUGAACUUAAGCAUAU
This 45-nucleotide ribosomal RNA is filed under the name Metarhizium anisopliae. RNAcentral's name for it is "partial 28S ribosomal RNA". The record is from RNAcentral. RNAcentral also lists the same sequence under 3 other names. Lineage: Eukaryota; Fungi; Ascomycota; Sordariomycetes; Hypocreales; Clavicipitaceae.